Musa acuminata subsp. malaccensis (wild Malaysian banana) is the source of this 94-nucleotide non-coding RNA. NCBI's taxonomy places the organism in Eukaryota, Viridiplantae, Streptophyta, Magnoliopsida, Zingiberales, Musaceae. The record is from Rfam.
CGUUGGCUGUGAUGACAUAUUUUACAGCUUCAAAAUGCCAGUUCUGCUUCAGAGAAUUCAUGAUUGAGGAAGCUGAUAAAACACUGAGCCUUCU